Molecule: ribosomal RNA, 322 nt
Filed under: uncultured eukaryote
Lineage: Eukaryota
Description: partial 18S ribosomal RNA
Rfam family: Eukaryotic small subunit ribosomal RNA
Source: RNAcentral
CCCUUAGAUGUUCUGGGCCGCACGCGUGCUACACUGAGUGGAUCAGCGGGUCAGGUUGCGCGAAAGUGUUUCCUAAUCUUGAAAUCCGCUCGUGAUGGAGAUUGACGGUUGCAAUUUUCCGUCAUGAACGAGGAAUACCUUGUAAGCGCGGGUCAUCAUCCCGCGCUGAAUACGUCCCUGCCCUUUGUACACACCGCCCGUCGCUCCUACCGAUUGAGUGGUCCGGUGAGGCUUUGGGAUCUGAGCGGAAAGAGCGUUUCGCUGUUUCUGCUCGGAAAACUCAGUCGAACCUUAUCAUUUAGAGGAAGGAGAAGUCGUAACA